Molecule: ribosomal RNA, 232 nt
Filed under: uncultured bacterium
Lineage: Bacteria
Description: partial 16S ribosomal RNA
Rfam family: Bacterial small subunit ribosomal RNA
Source: RNAcentral
UUGCUCCUACGGGGCGCAGCAGUGGGGAAUAUUGCACAAUGGGGGGAACCCUGAUGCAGCGACGCCGCGUGAGCGAAGAAGUAUUUCGGUACGUAAAGCUCUAUCAGCAGGGAAGAAAAAAGGACGGUACCUGAGUAAGGAGCCCCGGCUAACUACGUGCCAGCAGCCGCGGUAAUACGUAGGGGGCAAGCGUUAUCCGGAAUUACUGGGUGUAAAGGGAGCGUAGACGGCA